This 443-nucleotide ribosomal RNA is filed under the name uncultured bacterium. RNAcentral describes it as "partial 16S ribosomal RNA". It matches the Rfam family "Bacterial small subunit ribosomal RNA", at positions 338 to 795 of the family's 1533-position model. The record is from RNAcentral.
CCUACGGGAGGCUGCAGUGGGGAAUAUUGGGCAAUGGGCGCAAGCCUGACCCAGCAACGCCGCGUGAGGGAAGAAGGCUUUCGGGUUGUAAACUUCUUUUCUCAGGGACGAAGAAACUGACGGUCCCUCAGGAAUAAGCCACGGCUAACUACGUGCCAGCAGCCGCGGUAAUACGUAGGUGGCAAGCGUUAUCCGGAUUUACUGGGUGUAAAGGGCGUGUAGGCUGGGAAGCAAGUCAGAUGUGAAAACCACGGGCUCAACCUGUGGCCUGCAUUUGAAACUGUUAUUCUUGAGUACUGGAGAGGCAGACGGAAUGCCUGGUGUAGCGGUGAAAUGCGUAGAUAUUAGGAGGAACACCAGUGGCGAAGGCGGUCUGCUGGACAGUAACUGACGCUGAGGCGCGAAAGCGUGGGGAGCAAACAGGAUUAGAUACCCUGGUAGUC